This is a regulatory RNA element of Saccharibacillus sacchari DSM 19268, 156 nucleotides long. It matches the Rfam family "PyrR binding site". Rfam says of the family: This family represents the PyrR binding site and terminator structure. This RNA structure is found upstream of a variety of genes involved in pyrimidine biosynthesis and transport. The record is from Rfam. Lineage: Bacteria; Bacillati; Bacillota; Bacilli; Caryophanales; Paenibacillaceae.
AGCACCUUUAAUUCAGUCCCGUGAGACUGGCAAGGUAACGUGAACGACGAUUCACUAAGAAUACGUCCGCCGAGAGCGGAACGAUUUUUAGCGCUCUUCGUCGAAUCAACAUGUCGAUUUCGACUCCUUGCCCGCCUGGGCAAGGAGUCUUUUUGC